UCUCUGAGGACGCCGGCCCACCUCCCUCGGGGGUUCCCAGCCGGGCGCCGGGGACGGACCCGCGCGGCCCUCGUCUACACCGCCCCCGGACGCCGGGGUCCGGCCGACAGCGCGGGCUUAGCGGGCAGCGGGCCUCGGACUGGUGCUGUUUGACCGCCUUCCCCUUGAGCUGGCUCCCGACGGGGAGGCAGCAGGUGGACCCGUCUUAAAGGACAGGACGAGUCUGGUGACAGCCCGAGUCGAGGGCUCCCAGGGCUGCCCGGAUCAGGUGGAGCGGUCCUUAGAGCAGACGCGGAAGACAGCCCGCGGCCACGCGGGCCGGGUGGGAGGAGAGGGCGCAGCCCGGAGCUGCAGGGGACAAAGCAGGCCUGCUGGGGCCUUGCCCUUCUCGGUUCUUAUCUUGUGGCCCAGAGGUGGACGGCUGGCUUAAAGAAAGAGGACCAGGCCAGCUCCUCUGUGGAGCUGACAGGCUCCUCCGGCGACCGUCACAGGCAGGGCUGCCAGAUACAACACAGGACACCAGUCAAACCUGAAUUUCAGAUCGACAAGCUGGCUGGCAGUCCUAUCCCAGGCAACAGAGAAGGUCCCACCUUCAGCAUCACACUCCUCAUCAGCUCUCAAUAAAGACCCCCACGAAGGAGGAAAGAUCCACAGGGCUGCAGAGAGAAGCAGGAAUGUGGGAACAGGCAGAAACGUGGUAAAGUAAGCUCCCUCUCCUGCCUCAAACAGCUUGAAGGUCAUGGUGAUGACAGCCCUUUAGAAACUCAACGCAAACGGUCCUUUUCUCCAGACCACAUCCUGGGACACAGGAAGCUCUUGAAAGUCUCAAAGCGGGACGCUGACCCAACCGGACUGCACUUUGAUGAAGACCAAGCCUGCAGCUGAGGAGGAGCGAGGUGAGGAGUGCAGCACAGUGGAGGGGAGCCCGAGGACCGGAAGGCGAGUGAGGGCACUGCUGCGUAAAUCCAGGUCUGCAGUCUCUCCGAGGUUGCCUUUUAUGCACAGUGUGAGAUGUCAUCUAACGACCACCACAAUGGAGAUACCGAAUGUUCCAUCAGACACUCCCCUGGCCCCAGAACUUAAACCAGCAGAGGGAGACAGAUCCCCAGCAGAGCACAGUGGAAAACGUUUUCCAAUUUCCUGCGUCCUCCCGGUGUCCCUGCCUUCUCCACGGUCUCCUGGGCUGAUCUUGCCGCUUCCAGAGCCCUUCCUACUGUCUCCCUCCAACCGAAGCUUAGAUUCGUGAGCUGACUCCUUCGGGCACACAGGGUAGCUUGCUGGCUCAUCUGGCGGAAGAGAGGAGGCCUUCUGAACGCAAGCCCUCCCGGGAAACCGGUUCGCACGUAACAAGGAACUUGGAUGCUGAAACCCAGAGUCUUGAAGAGAGAAUUGUAGACACUGAGGCAGAGGAGAUGUUUGGAAGGGGCUUUCGGUCUGAGACUUUUCCAGAUCCCUCAGCUCACAGCGGCACAGAGGCCUGCACCCUGCUUCCGUUCUGAGAGCGCGUUCCCGCUUCCCAUGCAACCUCAGCAACCUCAGCCUGUGUCUGGGAAGAAGCUGCCCUCGGCCUCUUCCUUCCAGAAAACAGCAGGCUGUUUUGUUGUUUGGUUGUCUCUCACACGUCCAGUUCCUCCAGAGCUUCCGGACCCCUUUUCCUUGGCUCCCGAAGGGAGCACCUGGAAUGUUCACACUCUACCUGGAGAACCGCGCUGUCUCCUCGGGCAUUUCUGCUGCACAGGAGAGAAAAAGCUAGUUCAUUUAAGCCAAAAACUUAAGUAGGGACUGGAUUCAAAAACAAGCCUUUCUCAAAAAAAAACACCUCCUCCUUUGCCUGUGGUUACUAGAGGCAAGUCAUGAGCCUCUUUUGCAGAUAGCGCUUGAAUUAUUGGUCUGGUUCUAACAACUGGCACUUUCCAGCAGGACGUUAGGGAGUGAAGUGUGUGCACCAUGAUAGAAGACGGUUUGGAAGCCACCCUAGACAAGGAGGGCUGAGCCUGCAGGAAGGAAGUUGUGAAGGGUCACCGCCCAGCACGGGACUGCACUUAUUCUCUGCCGCUCCAGAGAGCCAAGCGAGAACCAGCAGCUGGUCUUGGGCAUGCGGCAUAAGGGAAGAUGGUGGGGAAGUGGUCCGUGGAGAAGUGGUGCAGCCAGGGGAAACUAGUGCAGCUGGAGUCUGACUCCAGCAAGGGCUUCUUAGCACCCAAAGCCCGGCCUGAGAGAAUGUGGUAAACAGCAUGAUUCGGGCAGCCACUGGCAUCGAGUGAUCCAACCCAGUGGGUGGGCAAAGCAGCAAGGGAUGCUAGGCAGCAUUUCAGAAGUCCUUCCUCAAGGGACCAUAACAGCUAACGUAGGGAGUGUGGGGGCAGGACGCAACAGGAUGAAGGUAUGGCCCCAGUACCUAAUCACCACCCAAGUUCUGGACAAGGCCCCAGUCACAGGGGGAAGCUGGGGAACAGCACAGAAACUAAGUGAGCAGAUCCUUGGUUAAAGCCAACCCCCACAGACUUGGCUAGUGGAAUGGGCUGGGGAGGGAGGGAGGAGAAGCAUAAGGAGGGCUCGGGUUCGAGGUCACUUCAUGGGGCCCAGGAUGCACCAGGCCCAUGGUGUGCUGGCCGUGGAGGGGUCUGGCAGUGCAUGUGGGCCCGUGAAUGAGACGUAGUGUGUGGAGUUGAGGAAGAGACAACAAAGCGGGGCUGAUGGAGAGGCUACCUGAGGAGAUGCGGGUGAUGAAGGAUCGGGAAAGCUCGUGCAGAGACCAGUGCCCUGCUGGGAGGGGAGCUUUCAGUGUGAGAGGGUUAACCGCUUGGCCUUUAAGGCCCAAGCCAGCUCUAAUGCACUGAUCCUACGGGGCCCGUGAGACACAAGGCCUGGGAACCACCCUCUCCAGGUGCUCCCUGUCUAUACUCAACUGUCCGUCCUCCUCCUUGUUUGGAAUCGAGUGUUUCAAGAACAGGUUCCCUUGGCAAUCUAGUUAGAAUGUUGUCAGGCCAGCUUGUACUCCACCCCAGCAUCUCGCAGUCUCUCCAAACUGGGGUCUCUUGGCCUCCCUUGUGGGUGCAGCCCUGUCGCAGCCUCCAGGCUCCGCUCUGCGGCAGCAGGUGCACAGAACAGCAGAGCUAGUUCGGGCUCGUCUGGUGUCCGCUUCUGAUGUGUGAACUUGCUCCUGUUUCUGAGACUUGCGGACUCCGCUGGGGUUAACUGGGGAUUUGCCUUGCUUCUCAUACUCGGAUCUGUUAUGGAAACCCUGGGCCUUGGCUUGCACAUCCCAGGCUCGGUAGCUGGGCCCUGAUAUCUGCUGACUCCUUUUCCUGAUGGCAGCUUCUGCUUGUCCAAACUGCUGAGCGUCCCGUGCCUCCAGUCAUCCUGAUAGGCUUACCUGCAGCCUACUCCUCAGUACAUAUAUGCUGUUCUGCUGUUCUAGCAUCACUGUCGCUGGUGCACCCAUCUCCCAGGUUCUGACUGUGUCCCGAAAGUAGAGCCAGCAUGUGGGCUGUGAGAGAAAGAGAUGAGCAAAGAAAAAUUCCAAGGUUUUUGGCUUGGAAAACCGGAAGGAAGGAGUUGCCGACCGAGAUGGGCAAGGCUGUAAGUAGAACACGUGUGGGGGAUUAGCAGUUCAGUUUUGACUCGCUAAGUCAGAGAUGUCCAUUAGCCAUCCUGGGAUGGAGCCUGAGUUGGCCACUGGACAUAUUCCUCUGGAGUGUGGGGGAGAGGCCUGGACUGGAUGUUGUUGUUUUGGACAUUGUUGGCACAUAGAUGGCAUUUAAGACAUUGCGCUGGGUGAGAUCACCAAUGGGUUGACAUAGAUACAAAAAAGAAAAAGUCCGAGACAUUCCUGCAUUAAAAGAUUGGGAAGAAGAGGAGGAACCAACAAAGAAGACCGCUUACUGGAAAGUGCCUGCUUUUUCCAGCAAAUAAUUAGUAACCAUGACCAUAGAUGACCACAGAUGUGCGUUAGGACCUGAGCAGUUUUUCUCUUUGUGUGUUUGUUUAUAGCGUGCCUCACUUUACACACAGACAAGACGGCACAUACUCACCAUCAGCAAAGGUCCUUUUCAAUAUUUCCUACCGCAGACGGGGGUUGGCUCCACGGCUCCCUCAUUUUCUCUCAUGUGGGGUCGGCGGUGUGCGUCGGCGGUAAGACGCCGCGGAGGCAGAAGCAGAGACUGUCCCGGGAGCGGUGCGGUGCAUAGCGUCACAUCGGAUGGAAUACGCGGUUUAAGAAGAAUCUUCCCUCUGCAAACACGCUCGCCGAUCACACCUGCGGGGGGCCUGGCUUUCUGUGGUUCACAUAUUCUUCAUCCGCAUUCAACUUUUCCUUUAACGUGAGAGUACUUCUGCUGCAUCAGUGACCUCCUUGGGCCAAAUGUUAAGUACAGUUUAUGCUAAGCCAGUUUAUUUCUGCUAAAAGUAGACCUCUGCUUAUCAUGUCUGUCCUUUCUUCCCUCGAAGACAGACAAACGAAUAAAGCCAGCCACCUCGAGAAGCUGAUGCUCUCGGCACAGGGCUGAGUGCUAUGCUAGGAACAGUUCCAUCUGCUAAAUGCCUACACAGGGCUGGUAGUAAAAAUCACAGCAAAUUUCCAUCUUUUCCUGCAACACCCAAGUCCUUCCAAGGAAACUCCCCAUCCGGCCACAUGAGAUAAAAUUAGAAACCUGCUAACUUUGCUGCCUCCCCAGGACUGCUAACUUCAACAGAGGCUGCAUUUCUUCAAUUACGGAACUAUAAACAGUAAGCUAAUAACAACGGAGAAGAGGAAAACAACAAUAAA
Molecule: long non-coding RNA, 4768 nt
Filed under: Equus caballus (horse)
Lineage: Eukaryota; Metazoa; Chordata; Mammalia; Perissodactyla; Equidae
Description: lncRNA (ENSECAG00000044638.1)
Source: RNAcentral